AUGUACAUUCCUACAACAUAGAGUUAAUGCACUGGAUCCCAUUAGAACUCCGUAGUUAAGCGUGUUCAAUAUAGAGUAGUACUGGGAUGGGUAAUUGCCCGAGAAGUCCUAGUGUUUUACAUG
Picea glauca (white spruce) is the source of this 123-nucleotide non-coding RNA. NCBI's taxonomy places the organism in Eukaryota, Viridiplantae, Streptophyta, Pinopsida, Pinales, Pinaceae. The record is from Rfam.